UAGAUUCAUUCCUCUGAGGACCCUCAAGUACUUCAGAAGAACUAAAAAAUGAAUAUCACGUUACACCAAAGAAGAAAUGAAAGCUGCCAGUGUCUUCUGAAGUUAAACAGGCUCCUGUUCUUUGACCCAGCAAUCCAAUCCUAGGACUCCAACUAAGCCACUAUGCUGGGAGCAGAGAUGGGGAAGAAUUGCUGAGUCAUGAUAAGAGAAGGCACUAUAGGAAGAAACAGUGAACUCUUAACAGCUGGGCAAGCAAUGAGUCAGCCUGGGUGGUCACUCCAGAUGCUCCCGGACACAUCCCAAUUUCUAGGAUGCCUUG
This 319-nucleotide long non-coding RNA is filed under the name Homo sapiens (human). RNAcentral's name for it is "non-protein coding LINC02286:13". The record is from RNAcentral. Lineage: Eukaryota; Metazoa; Chordata; Mammalia; Primates; Hominidae.